RNAcentral lists this long non-coding RNA (380 nucleotides) under Solanum tuberosum (potato). RNAcentral describes it as "long non-coding RNA (STUB_LNC002586)". Lineage: Eukaryota; Viridiplantae; Streptophyta; Magnoliopsida; Solanales; Solanaceae. The record is from RNAcentral.
GAGGAUUCCACAACUAACAAUAUAAUCAUUUAAACAAGAAAAGGAUGCACAAGCUCUACCGAUUCGAGAUAUGCAAUAAAUUGGAGAAUCCUUCAUAUUCUAUCAUCAACAUUCAUGAGUGUCAAAUUGAGAAAAAUCCUUUCAAUAAUAACACAUUUACUUUCAUAACAUGAUCACAUUAGCUCCAUUGAAUGUCCAUUCAUAAAAAUGUCAUGUAACACUUAAAUUUCUCAUACUAUGCCUUCAAGGCCAUGGUCACAAUGUAACAAACAAGUAAACAAUUCUAAGUCAACAUUAGCUCCUCAUGUCUUGCCUUUAAGGCCAUGGUCACAAUACAUUCCAUAAUUAAACACCUCCACCAUAAGUGGAUCAAACCAAGC